GCCCAGAGGCCAGGCAGAAGUGGGCUGGGAAGGACGGGCAGAGCCUGCUGAGGGUGGCAGCUUGGCCUUGAGCAGCACCAUGGGCAGCCAGGGGCUCUCCCGGCUGCUGCAGCUCUCGGUGCUGCUGCUCUCGGUGCAGCCACUGGAGCCUUCCAGCCCCGCUGCCGGGGACUCGGGGGCCUGGGAUGCGCUUCCCGAGCUCCUGGAACAGCGGGACAGGACGUGGCGCCCAUGAGGGAGCCACUGCGGAGAGCAUUCCCUGCCUUAAAAAUCAGCAGUGCAAACUGUGCUGAAGAAGUGAAGAUGGAAGUCACAGAAGUGUAAACAGGCAGAGCUUGACAGAGUGGAUUG
This is a long non-coding RNA of Vidua macroura (Pin-tailed whydah), 351 nucleotides long. RefSeq lists it as uncharacterized. The transcript has 2 exons. The record is from RefSeq and is a predicted model, not a curated record. NCBI's taxonomy places the organism in Eukaryota, Metazoa, Chordata, Aves, Passeriformes, Viduidae.